GCAGUCAUUACCCUACCUGACCGUUUGAUCUCUUUUUUUUCGGUUCAGGCAUUUCUUGCAUUACUUUUCUUUUUCUUUUUUUUUCUUUUUUCUUUUCUCUUUUUUUUUUUUGCAGGAUCGACCUCGAUUCCUCUUUAGUUCCUAAUAAGCCUCGACAACUUACCGGACAACACUCCACAAGUGCACUGAUUCGGACUCAAUAUCCGUCUGAGUUGUCUCAACCCGGUCAAACAACUUGCCCCGGAUUCCCCAGAUGCCCCACUUCUGCUUGGGACUUUGCCAUCAUGUCAUCAACAUGGCAUUUGAUUUCACGAUGAAUCAUAUCAUG
RNAcentral lists this long non-coding RNA (328 nucleotides) under Lathyrus oleraceus (garden pea). Its description in RNAcentral is "Pisum sativum (pea) long non-coding RNA (PSAT_LNC001689)". The record is from RNAcentral. Lineage: Eukaryota; Viridiplantae; Streptophyta; Magnoliopsida; Fabales; Fabaceae.